This 110-nucleotide microRNA precursor is filed under the name Oryza sativa (Asian cultivated rice). The record is from RNAcentral. Lineage: Eukaryota; Viridiplantae; Streptophyta; Magnoliopsida; Poales; Poaceae.
CCUUGCGACGACGGGAUAUUGGGGCGGUUCAAUCAGAAAGCUUGUGCUCCGGAAGCGAGGAGCUCUACUCUUUUGAUUGAGCCGUGCCAAUAUCACGUCGCAUCCAUCAC